CAUAUAACAGCAACGUAUUAGUGAACUAGGAAAGUGGGGUUGCAUACAAUCAUGAUUUAAAUAGCCCGCAGGCCUUGUGGAGACUCCGCAUGUUGAUAUAACGAUGUCGUCCGAGCACAUCUCUAAAGGGUUCCGACCUCGUCCGACGAUGACGCGUUUUUAUUUUGACUGAUAAAUAAAAACAAGUACAAUAUGAAUGUAAA
Molecule: long non-coding RNA, 203 nt
Organism: Danaus plexippus (monarch butterfly)
Lineage: Eukaryota; Metazoa; Arthropoda; Insecta; Lepidoptera; Nymphalidae
Exons: 2
Source: RefSeq, a predicted model, not a curated record